Non-coding RNA from Oryctolagus cuniculus (rabbit), 827 nucleotides. NCBI's taxonomy places the organism in Eukaryota, Metazoa, Chordata, Mammalia, Lagomorpha, Leporidae. The record is from RefSeq and is a predicted model, not a curated record.
AUGGUAUGCAUGUAACUGAAGCAUUUAGAAAUCAUGAUGCUAGUAUUCCUCCACUCAGUGUGAAAAGCCUGAUGGGAAAAUAAAUUUCUCCAUGUAAUGUCCUGGGGCUUGUUCAUAUAGGUCCCAGGAGGGAGAUCACCUGAGCACAGCUACUAUCCAGCCUGAGCGUCUCUCUGCCUGAGCGUGUUCCUGGAUGCUGUAGCUGGUGUACUUGGCAUCACAGGGCCAGAGGAAAGUUAAUGGCUUUGGGAAGCGCUUCAACAAACAAGCGUUGGGGCUUGGUAUCACUUUUCUUGAAUGGUAUGCGACUAGUCUCACUGGACAAACUUUACAGCCUUUGCACCUAAAGGAAAGCAUCACUGGGAAAUGAUGUUGAGUUAGAGGAAAUAGAUACAAGGAGGACAAGAAGUCAUCAAGUUGUCCUUUAAUACAGAGAAAUUCAAUCUGAUUUAAUGUCUCCCAAGAUAAUGCAGUUUCAGGCAGAAUCAAAGAUGAAGGAAAAAAAAUCUUCAGAAAACACCAGAUCUUCAUUCUUCCUUAGAAUGACCUCUGAUGCUGCAGUUGGUGCAGCUCAGCCAAAACCUUGCUGUCCUGUUCACCCUUCUAUUACCACCUCCUCUCACCUGUGAUCAUUCUUUGGCAAGGAGCUUGCCAUGAAGCAACAGCAUCUGGUUCACAUAUCUUCUCUUCGGGGGCAAUGAAGAAAGCUCAAAAAGACCUUCUGGGGCAGUUUGUGGUUUAUUUAUUUAUUUUUUUUCUGGGAACUGAGUAGAGAUAGUUCUGAAAGUUCACCAGCAUUUGCUGAGCCCAGGAAUUUAAAGAAUAAU